This 397-nucleotide ribosomal RNA is filed under the name uncultured bacterium. RNAcentral describes it as "partial 16S ribosomal RNA". It matches the Rfam family "Bacterial small subunit ribosomal RNA", at positions 338 to 732 of the family's 1533-position model. The record is from RNAcentral.
CCUACGGGAGGCAGCAGUGAGGAAUAUUGGUCAAUGGACGAGAGUCUGAACCAGCCAAGCCGCGUGAAGGAUGACUGUCCUGUGUGUUGUAAACCUCUUUUGUCAGGGAAUAAAACGAGGCACGUGUGCCUGUUUGAGUGUACUUUAAGAAUAAGCAUCGGCUAACUCCGUGCCAGCAGCCGCGGUAAUACGGAGGAUCCGAGCGUUAUCCGGAUUUAUUGGGUUUAAAGGGAGCGUAGGUGGGUUGUUAAGUCAGUUGUGAAAGUCUGGGGCUCAACCGUAAGAUCGCAGUUGAUACUGGCAGUCUUGAGUAGAGGAGAGGUAUGCGGAAUGCGUGGUGUAGCGGUGAAAUGCAUAGAUAUCACGAAGAACCCCGAUUGCGAAGGCAGCUUACUGG